Molecule: non-coding RNA, 21 nt
Organism: Caenorhabditis elegans
Lineage: Eukaryota; Metazoa; Nematoda; Chromadorea; Rhabditida; Rhabditidae
Source: Ensembl
UUUCGUCAUUUGUAUAAGACA